This 506-nucleotide long non-coding RNA is filed under the name Cavia porcellus (domestic guinea pig). RNAcentral describes it as "lncRNA (ENSCPOG00000038832.1)". Lineage: Eukaryota; Metazoa; Chordata; Mammalia; Rodentia; Caviidae. The record is from RNAcentral.
CGGUCUGGGUCACCAGCCAGGAAUGAAAAGGGAGGGGGAUAAAGGGGAGAGUAGCCAAUGAGAACGCAGUUCAGGGAUCUGGGAGACAGAGAUCGGGAGAACCCAAGAUUCCUGUCUCUUCCCAACUGGUUGCAGAGAACAGAACGUAUGGUUCAGUCCCUGGAUGAUGAAAGCAUGCCAAGUCUGCAGUUCCUCCAUUCUUGCUUCUUCCAAAGUAGCAGAAUUGUGGUUGCAGGUGUCUGCUAUUGGUCCCAGCAGCCCCUACAGACACACCCUACCAUAGUGUCUAUUCAUAGGGCCAACAGAGAGACAAGAGCAUUGCUAAAGAGAGAGUCUAGAAGAAUGCAAGCGACAUACCGGCUCAUCAGUAGGGGCGCGGCUGGGUAAAAUCAAGGCCUUUCCUUAAGGACCACUAGAUGGCCAGAUGAGAGAAUGGGGACCCUCUCUACAGAUCAGUGCAGAGCUGCUCCAAGAAAGACGUGAAAUGCAAAAGCAGUGAGCGGCAU